This 277-nucleotide ribosomal RNA is filed under the name uncultured bacterium. RNAcentral's name for it is "partial 16S ribosomal RNA". It matches the Rfam family "Bacterial small subunit ribosomal RNA", at positions 506 to 784 of the family's 1533-position model. The record is from RNAcentral.
UGCCAGCAGCCGCGGUAAUACGGGAGGGGCAAGCGUUAUUCGGAAUAACUGGGCGUAAAGAGUCCGUAGACUGUAAUAUAAGCUAUAUGUUAAAAUUUUUAGCUUAACUAAAAAAUAGCAUUUAAUACUGUUUUACUUUGAGUUUUAUUCGGAAGAGUGGUAUUUCAUGGGUAGAAGAUUUUCAAAGAUUCAUGAAGGAAUGUCGAAGGUGAAGGCAACUCUUUAGUGAAAACUGACGUUGAGGGACGAAAGUGUAGGUAGCAAACAGGAUUAGAUA